This is a long non-coding RNA of Homo sapiens (human), 661 nucleotides long. Ensembl annotates it as long intergenic non-protein coding RNA 1584. NCBI's taxonomy places the organism in Eukaryota, Metazoa, Chordata, Mammalia, Primates, Hominidae. The record is from Ensembl.
GAAGACCUGAGGUAUCAGGGGUAGGGGUUGCUCUGCUUGUGUAAGUCCCAUAGUGUGAAGGCCAGAGAACCAAGAGAUGGUCAAGAAGAGAGAGUAAGUGUCCAAUGUCCCAGCUCAAGAAGAGAGACAAGACCAACCCCGCCUCUUCCUUCUCCUUCUCGACCUACUCAAAGUAAAGAUGAGGAUGAAGACCCUUAAGAUGAUCCACUCCCACUUAAUGAAUAAAACUUUUGUGGAUAGCUAAGUUACUGCUAGCCAUCUGAUUAUAGCAAUGGCUUCCAGGAGCAUCACGACCUGUGCAGACUCCCCAGCAUCAUAACAGGAAGGUCCCACGAUCACGAGCACAUUGCCUUCAGCAUCCAGCACUGAAUAUGGUGAAUUGCACUCUGAAGAGCUUCCUAAGCUUGUAAGAAAGUGAUUCUGAAAAGCUCAACAUUUUGGUAGAAUGGAGAGAUUUGACAUUGCUUCUGCUCCAAAAGCAAAAGACUUGGGAUUAGAUGACUGCUGAAGGACCAUCUAAGUUCCAGAGCUCGGUGUGGAAUCAUCUGGAGCCUCUGUUGUGACUACAUUGCAGAUCAAUCUCCCCUCUGCCCAAUCCUACUUCCUUCAUGAUCCCACAUGUAGAUCCAGGCACUCCCCCAAUAAACUUCCUGCAUGAAAA